AUUUAUUAUUACCUUUUCUUUCAAACAUGAGUUGUAAUGAAACAACUUCAAAACCUAAAAGAGGAAGACCAAGAAAAAAAAUACAUAUCUAGUGAAGAGAGUGAAUUAUCAUCUGAUUCUACCUCUUCUAGUGUCAAAAAAAUAACAUUGUUAAAUCAGGAAAUCGGAGGAGUAGUAGAUUAAAGAAAAAUGAAUGUGCAGAAAAUCGUAGUAGAUUAAAGAACAAAGAAUGUUCAUAUAGUGGAAAUGUUGAUAAAGAUAAUCUACAAGAUGAUAAGCAACAAAAACAAUUUGAAAGCCAACAAAAUGAAGAUGAGGUUA
Long non-coding RNA from Helianthus annuus (common sunflower), 321 nucleotides. RefSeq lists it as uncharacterized. The transcript has 4 exons. NCBI's taxonomy places the organism in Eukaryota, Viridiplantae, Streptophyta, Magnoliopsida, Asterales, Asteraceae. The record is from RefSeq and is a predicted model, not a curated record.